Molecule: ribosomal RNA, 525 nt
Filed under: uncultured bacterium
Lineage: Bacteria
Description: bacterial SSU rRNA
Rfam family: Bacterial small subunit ribosomal RNA
Source: RNAcentral
GACAUCCAGCGAACUUGGCAGAGAUGCCUUGGUGCCUUCGGAACGCUGAGACAGGUGCUACAUGGCUGUCGUCAGCUCGUGUUGUGAAAUGUUGGGUUAAGUCCCGCAACGAGCGCAACCCUUAUCCUUUGUUGCCAGCGAUUCGGUCGGGAACUCAAAGGAGACUGCCGGUGAUAAACCGGAGGAAGGUGGGGAUGACGUCAAGUCAUCAUGGCCCUUACGAGUAGGGCUACACACGUGCUACAAUGGCGCAUACAAAGAGAAGCGACCUCGCGAGAGCAAGCGGACCUCAUAAAGUGCGUCGUAGUCCGGAUCGGAGUCUGCAACUCGACUCCGUGAAGUCGGAAUCGCUAGUAAUCGUGGAUCAGAAUGCCACGGUGAAUACGUUCCCGGGCCUUGUACACACCGCCCGUCACACCAUGGGAGUGGGUUGCAAAAGAAGUAGGUAGCUUAACCUCCGGGAGGGCGCUUACCACUUUGUGAUUCAUGACUGGGGUGAAGUCGUAACAAGGUAAGCGUAGCGAG